RNAcentral lists this ribosomal RNA (302 nucleotides) under uncultured bacterium. RNAcentral's name for it is "partial 16S ribosomal RNA". It matches the Rfam family "Bacterial small subunit ribosomal RNA", at positions 508 to 807 of the family's 1533-position model. The record is from RNAcentral.
GCAGUCGCCGCGGUAAAACGAGGGGUGCAAGCGUUAUUCGGAUUGAUUGGGUGUAAAGGGUGUGCAGACGGCUUAUUAAGUCACUUGUUAAAUUCUUCGGCCUAACUGAAGGUCUGCAAGUGAUACUGAUGAGCUAGAGGGUGGAAGAGAGAAGUGGAAUUCUCGGAGUAGCGGUGAAAUGCGCAGAUAUCAGGAGGAACACCGAUGGCGAAGGCAGGUCUCUGGGCAUUAACUGACGCUGAGGAGCGAAAGCAUGGGGAGCGAACAGGAUUAGAUACCCCUGUAGUCCCUGUCUCUUAUAC